UGCUACCCUAGUGUGUCACUUUUUUAAAC
RNAcentral lists this non-coding RNA (29 nucleotides) under Mus musculus (house mouse). Lineage: Eukaryota; Metazoa; Chordata; Mammalia; Rodentia; Muridae. The record is from RNAcentral.